This 618-nucleotide ribosomal RNA is filed under the name Ralstonia sp. N4s_30. RNAcentral's name for it is "bacterial SSU rRNA". It matches the Rfam family "Bacterial small subunit ribosomal RNA", at positions 395 to 1006 of the family's 1533-position model. Lineage: Bacteria; Pseudomonadati; Pseudomonadota; Betaproteobacteria; Burkholderiales; Burkholderiaceae. The record is from RNAcentral.
UGCCGCGUGUGUGAAGAAGGCCUUCGGGUUGUAAAGCACUUUUGUCCGGAAAGAAAUGGCUCUGGUUAAUACCUGGAGUCGAUGACGGUACCGGAAGAAUAAGGACCGGCUAACUACGUGCCAGCAGCCGCGGUAAUACGUAGGGUCCAAGCGUUAAUCGGAAUUACUGGGCGUAAAGCGUGCGCAGGCGGUUGUGCAAGACCGAUGUGAAAUCCCCGAGCUUAACUUGGGAAUUGCAUUGGUGACUGCACGGCUAGAGUGUGUCAGAGGGGGGUAGAAUUCCACGUGUAGCAGUGAAAUGCGUAGAGAUGUGGAGGAAUACCGAUGGCGAAGGCAGCCCCCUGGGAUAACACUGACGCUCAUGCACGAAAGCGUGGGGAGCAAACAGGAUUAGAUACCCUGGUAGUCCACGCCCUAAACGAUGUCAACUAGUUGUUGGGGAUUCAUUUCCUUAGUAACGUAGCUAACGCGUGAAGUUGACCGCCUGGGGAGUACGGUCGCAAGAUUAAAACUCAAAGGAAUUGACGGGGACCCGCACAAGCGGUGGAUGAUGUGGAUUAAUUCGAUGCAACGCGAAAAACCUUACCUACCCUUGACAUGCCACUAACGAAGCAGAGA